CAMWAWYCCUGAWGGACACCCGCGUGAGUGAAGAAGGGUUUCGGCUCGUAAAGCUCUGUUGUUAGAGAAGAACGUGCGUGAGAGCAACUGUUCACGCAGUGACGGUAUCUAACCAGAAAGUCACGGCUAACUACGUGCCAGCAGCCGCGGUAAUACGUAGGUGGCAAGCGUUAUCCGGAUUUAUUGGGCGUAAAGCGAGCGCAGGCGGUUUGAUAAGUCUGAUGUGAAAGCCUUUGGCUUAACCAAAGAAGUGCAUCGGAAACUGUCAGACUUGAGUGCAGAAGAGGACAGUGGAACUCCAUGUGUAGCGGUGAAAU
Molecule: ribosomal RNA, 317 nt
Filed under: uncultured Lactobacillus sp.
Lineage: Bacteria; Bacillati; Bacillota; Bacilli; Lactobacillales; Lactobacillaceae
Description: bacterial SSU rRNA
Rfam family: Bacterial small subunit ribosomal RNA
Source: RNAcentral